GUGCUCCCCCGCCAAUUCCUUUAAGUUUCAGCCUUGCGGCCGUACUUCCCAAGCGGCCCGCUUAACACCUUCGCUCCGGCACUGCCGGCCCCCGAAAGACCGACAACACCAAGCGGGCAGCGUUUACAGCCAGGACUACCCGGGUAUCUAAUCCGGUUUGCUCCCCUGGCCUUCGUCCCUCACCGUCGGAGCCGUUCAAGCUGGACGCUUUCGCCACAGGUGGUCCCCCCAGGAUUACAGCAUUUCACCGCUACCCCGGGAGUACCUCCAGCCUCUCCCGGUCCCAAGACCCGCAGUCUCCCCGGAAUUCCUGACGUUGAGCGCCAGGAUUUACCCAGGGAUUUACGGGUCCGGCUACGGACGCUUUAGGCUCAAUAAAAGCGGCCACCACUUGAGCUGCGGGUAUUACCGCGGCGGCUGGCACCCGUCUUGCCCAGCCCUUAUUCCUGGAGCUUUUUAGGCUCCAGAAAAGCCCUCCCCGAAGGAAGGGCACUCGGGCUCCCCUCGUCGCGCUUUCGCACAUUGCGAAGGUUUCGCGCCUGCUGCGCCCCGUAGGGCCUGGACUCGUGUCUCAGAGUCCAUCUCCGGGCUCCCUCUCUCAAGGCCCGUACCCGUUUUAGGCUUGGUGAGCCGUUACCUCACCAACAACCUGAUGGGCCGCAGUCCCAUCCUCAGGCGAUGACUCAUUUGAGUGUAGAAGCAUUCCAGCAUACUACACCUAUAGGGUAUUAGCCUCAGUUUCCCGAGGUUAUCCCCUUCCUGAGGGCAGGUUAACUACGUGUUACUGAGCAGU
Molecule: ribosomal RNA, 793 nt
Filed under: uncultured euryarchaeote
Lineage: Archaea; Methanobacteriati; Methanobacteriota
Description: partial 16S ribosomal RNA
Source: RNAcentral